CUCUCAUUUUUACUUCAAAUAGAAAACCAAAAUUUCCAUCAAAUUCCAUCAUCAGUCCUUUCCUUUCCCUCUCUUUCUUCUUCCUAUUCAAAAAGGGUUCCGCGCCAUACCCAGAUUCUUGUUUACAACAUUCUCUCUUCCACCUACCUUCAUUUCUCUCCUUGCCGUUCUUCUGGUUGGCCCUAAUUUCCUAAGGAAUAUGCCGAGGGAGAUCAUCACUCUGCAAGUUGGACAAUGUGGGAAUCAGAUCGGAAUGGAGUUCUGGAAGCAGCUCUGCCUCGAGCAUGGAAUCAGCAAAGAGGGUAUUCUUGAAGAUUUUGCUACUCAGGGAGGUGACCGGAAAGAUGUAUUCUUCUAUCAAGCUGAUGAUCAGCACUACAUACCAAGAGCUUUGCUUAUUGACCUGGAGCCUAGGGUCAUCAAUGGUAUCCAGAACAGUGAAUACCGAAAUCUCUACAACCACGAGAACAUCUUUGUUUCAGACCAUGGAGGUGGUGCUGGAAAUAACUGGGCCAGUGGAUAUCAUCAGGGAAAGGGUGUUGAAGAGGAUAUCAUGGAUAUGAUUGACAGAGAAGCAGAUGGAAGUGACAGCCUUGAAGGUUUUGUUCUAUGCCACUCAAUUGCUGGAGGGACAGGAUCAGGCAUGGGUUCGUAUCUCCUGGAGACUCUGAAUGAUCGCUACAGCAAAAAACUGGUUCAGACGUACAGUGUUUUUCCUAAUCAGAUGGAAACUAGUGAUGUUGUAGUCCAGCCUUACAACUCACUUUUGACUUUAAAGCGACUAACACUCAAUGCUGAUUGUGUUGUUGUCCUUGAUAAUACUGCCUUAAAUAGAAUAGCUGUAGAACGCCUUCAUCUAUCAAAUCCAACUUUUGCACAAACAAACUCCUUAGUAUCUACGGUAAUGUCAGCUAGCACAACCACUUUGAGAUACCCGGGAUAUAUGAACAAUGACUUAGUUGGACUUCUGGCCUCCCUAAUUCCAACACCAAGAUGCCAUUUUCUAAUGACAGGAUACACACCACUCACGGUUGAGCGCCAGGCUAAUGUGAUCAGGAAAACAACUGUCCUUGAUGUCAUGAGAAGACUUCUGCAGACAAAAAAUAUUAUGGUCUCCUCAUAUGCUCGAACAAAAGAAGCUAGUCAAGCAAAAUACAUAUCAAUAUUGAAUAUCAUACAGGGAGAAGUGGACCCUACACAGGUUCAUGAAAGUUUGCAGAGGAUACGUGAAAGAAAGCUUGUGAAUUUUAUUGAGUGGGGCCCUGCCAGCAUUCAGGUUGCACUCUCACGGAAAUCACCAUAUGUCCAAACUGCCCAUAGAGUCAGUGGUCUUAUGUUAGCUAGCCAUACAAGCAUCCGGCACCUUUUUAGCAAGUGUUUGAGCCAGUAUGAGAAGUUGAGAAAGAAGCAAGCCUUUCUUGACAACUAUCGGAAGUUCCCAAUGUUCGCUGACAAUGACCUCUCCGAGUUUGAUGAAUCAAGGGAUAUAAUUGAAAGUUUGGUUGAUGAAUAUAAGGCUUGUGAGUCGCCAGAUUAUAUCAAAUGGGGAAUGGAGGAUCCCGACCAGAUUCUUACAGGAGAGGGAGAUGCAUCGGGAACAGCAGACCCAAGUUUGGCCGUCUGACAAGACAAAUAAGGUCAUGAUAAUGGAGGUCUUCCAUUUGCGUCAAUGAGGUGUCUUUUGUUUGUAUGUUUUGGGACCGUUUGUGUGAUGAAGAGUGAGGCUUGUGGCAUUGGCAUCAUAGUUGAGAACAGCAUUGUUCAUCCUACCAUCCACAUGUGAUUACUGGCAUUCUGUUCCAACCUAAAACAUUCAGUUAUAGAAUGAUUGCCAGGGUUGGCUGGAGGAAAGAGCAGUCUACGUCCAUGAUUGAAACAUAUACUGAUUUUUAUGGACCAUUAUUUUCAAAUUGCAUAUUGAAUGAAUGGGAUGGUGGGAGUAAUCUCUAACUGGUUUUUGAGAUUGAUGAUUGAGUGGGUUUGUAGAGAGUGUUUGAACCUGAUCGCUGAUUAUUAAUGGAAGAAUGAUUUUAGUUAUUUUCAAAAAAA
This is a non-coding RNA of Benincasa hispida (wax gourd), 2049 nucleotides long. The record is from RefSeq and is a predicted model, not a curated record. NCBI's taxonomy places the organism in Eukaryota, Viridiplantae, Streptophyta, Magnoliopsida, Cucurbitales, Cucurbitaceae.